UACGUAGGUGGCAAGCGUUAUCCGGAAUGAUUGGGCGUAAAGGGUGCGUAGGCGGCGGGAUAAGUCUGAAGUGAAAGGCUGCAGCUCAACUGCAGUAUGCUUUGGAAACUGUCCUGCUGGAGUGCAGGAGAGGGCGAUGGAACUCCAUGUGUAGCGGUAAAAUGCGUAGAUAUAUGGAAGAACACCAGUGGCGAAGGCGGUCGCCUGGCCUGCAACUGACGCUGAAGCACGAAAGCGUGGGGAGCAAAUAGG
Molecule: ribosomal RNA, 252 nt
Filed under: uncultured Eubacterium sp.
Lineage: Bacteria; Bacillati; Bacillota; Clostridia; Eubacteriales; Eubacteriaceae
Description: partial 16S ribosomal RNA
Rfam family: Bacterial small subunit ribosomal RNA
Source: RNAcentral